This 1453-nucleotide ribosomal RNA is filed under the name uncultured bacterium. Its description in RNAcentral is "bacterial SSU rRNA". It matches the Rfam family "Bacterial small subunit ribosomal RNA". The record is from RNAcentral.
AUUAGAGUUUGAUCCUGGCUCAGGAUGAACGCUGGCGGUCUGCUUAACACAUGCAAGUCGAACGGGGUAGAAAUACCUAGUGGCGGACGGGUGAGUAACGCGUGAGAAUCUGCCAACAGGUUGGGGACAACAGUGGGAAACCGCUGCUAAUACCGAAUGUGCCGAAAGGUAAAAGAUUUUUUGCCUGUUGAUGAGCUCGCGUCCGAUUAGCUAGUUGGAGUGGUAAAAGCACACCAAGGCGACGAUCGGUAGCUGGUCUGAGAGGAUGACCAGCCACACUGGGACUGAGACACGGCCCAGACUCCUACGGGAGGCAGCAGUGGGGAAUUUUCCGCAAUGGGCGAAAGCCUGACGGAGCAAGACCGCGUGAGGGAGGAAGGCUCUUGGGUUGUAAACCUCUUUUCUUGGGGAAGAAUACUGACGGUACCCAAGGAAUCAGCAUCGGCUAACUCCGUGCCAGCAGCCGCGGUAAUACGGAGGAUGCAAGCGUUAUCCGGAAUUAUUGGGCGUAAAGCGUCCGUAGGUGGUGGUUCAAGUCUGCUGUCAAAAACUGGGGCUUAACCCCAGAAAGGCGGUGGAAACUGAACGGCUAGAGUGUGGUAGGGGCAGAGGGAAUUCCCGGUGUAGCGGUGAAAUGCGUAGAGAUCGGGAAGAACACCGGUGGCGAAAGCGCUCUGCUGGACCACAACUGACACUCACAGGACGAAAGCUAGGGGAGCGAAUGGGAUUAGAUACCCCAGUAGUCCUAGCUGUAAACGAUGGAUACUAGGUGUUGUGAGUAUCGACCCACAGUGCCGUAGCUAACGCGUUAAGUAUCCCGCCUGGGGAGUACGCACGCAAGUGUGAAACUCAAAGGAAUUGACGGGGGCCCGCACAAGCGGUGGAGUAUGUGGUUUAAUUCGAUGCAACGCGAAGAACCUUACCAGGGCUUGACAUGCCGCGAAUCUUUGGGAAACUAAAGAGUGCCUUCGGGAGCGCGGACACAGGUGGUGCAUGGCUGUCGUCAGCUCGUGUCGUGAGAUGUUGGGUUAAGUCCCGCAACGAGCGCAACCCUCGUCCUUAGUUGCCAGCAUUGAGUUGGGCACUCUGGGGAGACUGCCGGUGACAAACCGGAGGAAGGUGGGGAUGACGUCAAGUCAGCAUGCCCCUUACGUCCUGGGCUACACACGUACUACAAUGGUCAGAACAAAGGGCAGCCAGCAGGCAACUGCCAGCCAAUCCCGAAAAACUGGCCUCAGUUCAGAUCGCAGGCUGCAACUCGCCUGCGUGAAGGCGGAAUCGCUAGUAAUCGCCGGUCAGCAUACGGCGGUGAAUCCGUUCCCGGGCCUUGUACACACCGCCCGUCACACCAUGGAAGUUGGCCACGCCCGAAGUCGUUAUCCCAACCCGCAAGGGAGGGAGACGCCGAAGGUGGGGCUGAUGACUGGGGUGAAGUCGUAACAAGGUAACCAAU